CUGCGAGUGAAGCGGGAAAAGCUCAAAUUUAAAAUCUGGUAGUCUUUGGCUGCCCGAGUUGUAAUCUAGAGAAGCAUUAUCCGCGUUGGACCGUGUACAAGUGUCCUGGAAUGGACCAUCAUAGAGGGUGAGAAUCCCGUCUUUGACACGGACUCCCGGGGCUUUGUGAUGUGCUCUCAAAGAGUCGAGUUGUUUGGGAAUGCAGCUCUAAAUGGGUGGUAAAUUCCAUCUAAAGCUAAAUAUUGGCGAGAGACCGAUAGCGAACAAGUACCGUGAGGGAAAGAUGAAAAGAACUUUGGAAAGAGAGUUAAACAGUACGUGAAAUUGCUGAAAGGGAAACGCUUGAAGUCAGUCGCGUUGGCUGGGGAUCAACCUUGCUUUUUUGCUUGGCUUACUUCCCAGUUGACGGGUCAGCAUCAGUUUUGACCGGUGGAUAAAGGUUAAGGGAAUGUGGCACCCUCGGGUGUGUUAUAGCCCUUGGUCAUAUACAUUGGUUGGGACUGAGGAACUCAGUACUUGUGCUUAGGAUGCUGGCAUAAUGGCUUUAAGCGACCCGUCUUGAAACACGGACCAAGGAGUCUAACAUGCCCGCGAGUGUUUGGGUGGAAAACCCGAGCGCGUAAUGAAAGUGAAAGUUGAGAUCCCUGUCGUGGGGAGCAUCGACGCCCGGACCAGACCUUUUGUGACGGAUCCGCGGUAGAGCGUGUAUGUUGGGACCCGAAAGAUGGUGAACUAUGCCUGAAUAGGGUGAAGCCAGAGGAAACUCUGGUGGAGGCUCGUAGCGAUUCUGACGUGCAAAUCGAUCGUCGAAUUUGGGUAU
Molecule: ribosomal RNA, 820 nt
Filed under: Termitomyces sp.
Lineage: Eukaryota; Fungi; Basidiomycota; Agaricomycetes; Agaricales; Lyophyllaceae
Description: partial large subunit ribosomal RNA
Rfam family: Eukaryotic large subunit ribosomal RNA
Source: RNAcentral